Molecule: ribosomal RNA, 447 nt
Filed under: uncultured bacterium
Lineage: Bacteria
Description: partial 16S ribosomal RNA
Rfam family: Bacterial small subunit ribosomal RNA
Source: RNAcentral
CCUACGGGGUGGCAGCAGUAGGGAAUUUUCGGCAAUGGGGGGAACCCUGACCGAGCAACGCCGCGUGAACGAAGCAGUUAUUUGGAAUGUAAAGUUCUUUUAACAGGGAAGAAAGAGAAACUUGACGGCACCUGAAGAAUAUGCCCCCGCUAACUACGUGCCAGCAGUCGCGGUAAUCAGUAGGGAGCGAGCGUUAUCCGGAAUGAUUGGGCGUAAAGGGUGCGUAGAUGGAAUAGUAAGUCUGUGGUAAAAAUGCUGGGCUCAACCCAGUAGGGCAAAAGAUACUGGGAAGCUAGAGUAUGACAGAAGCAAGUGGAACUAGAUGUGUAGCGGUAAAAUGCGUAAAUAUAUGGAAGAACGCCAGUGGCGAAGGCAGCUUGCUGGGUCGAUACUGACAUUGAGGCACGAAAGCGUGGGGAGCGAACAGGAUUAGAUACCCCAGUAGUC